UGGGGAAUUUUGGACAAUGGGCGAAAGCCUGAUCCAGCAAUGCCGCGUGUGUGAAGAAGGCCUUCGGGUUGUAAAGCACUUUUGUCCGGAAAGAAAUCCUUGGCUCUAAUACAGUCGGGGGAUGACGGUACCGGAAGAAUAAGCACCGGCUAACUACGUGCCAGCAGCCGCGGUAAUACGUAGGGUGCAAGCGUUAAUCGGAAUUACUGGGCGUAAAGCGUGCGCAGGCGGUUUGCUAAGACCGAUGUGAAAUCCCCGGGCUCAACCUGGGAACUGCAUUGGUGACUGGCAGGCUAGAGUAUGGCAGAGGGGGGUAGAAUUCCACGUGUAGCAGUGAAAUGCGUAGAGAUGUGGAGGAAUACCGACGGCGAAGGCAGCCCCCUGGGCCAAUACUGACGCUCAUGCACGAAAGCGCGGGGAGCAAACAGGAUUAGAUACCCUGGGUAGUCCACGCCCUAAACGAUGUCAACUAGUUGUUGGGGAUUCAUUUCCUUAGUAACGUAGCUAACGCGUGAAGUUGACCGCCUGGGGAGUACGGUCGCAAGAUUAAAACUCAAAUGAAUUGACGGGGUCAUAGCUGUUUCCU
Molecule: ribosomal RNA, 586 nt
Filed under: uncultured bacterium
Lineage: Bacteria
Description: partial 16S ribosomal RNA
Rfam family: Bacterial small subunit ribosomal RNA
Source: RNAcentral